AACGCGAAGAACCUUACCUGGGCUCGAACGGCUCCCUAACGACUGUGGAAACAUGGUUACCCCGCAAGGGGGUGGAGUCGAGGUGCUGCAUGGCUGUCGUCAGCUCGUGUCGUGAGAUGUUGGGUUAAGUCCCGCAACGAGCGCAACCCUUACCCCCAGUUGCCAUCAUUCAGUUGGGCACUCUGGUGGAACCGCCUCGGAUAACGGGGAGGAAGGUGGGGAUGACGUCAAGUCCUCAUGGCCUUUAUGUCCAGGGCUACACACGUGCUACAAUGGCCGGUACAAACCGUCGCAAAGCCGCGAGGUGGAGCUAAUCGGAAAAAGCCGGCCUCAGUUCGGAUCGCAGUCUGCAACUCGACUGCGUGAAGCUGGAAUCGCUAGUAAUCGUGGAUCAGAAUGCCACGGUGAAUACGUUCCCGGGCCUUGUACACACCGAGACGUA
This 442-nucleotide ribosomal RNA is filed under the name uncultured bacterium. RNAcentral describes it as "bacterial SSU rRNA". It matches the Rfam family "Bacterial small subunit ribosomal RNA", at positions 958 to 1398 of the family's 1533-position model. The record is from RNAcentral.